UUUUAUGGAGAGUUUGAUCCUGGCUCAGGAUGAACGCUGGCGGCGUGCCUAAUACAUGCAAGUCGAGCGAACGGACGAGAAGCUUGCUUCUCUGAUGUUAGCGGCGGACGGGUGAGUAACACGUGGAUAACCUACCUAUAAGACUGGGAUAACUUCGGGAAACCGGAGCUAAUACCGGAUAAUAUUUUGAACCGCAUGGUUCAAAAGUAAAAGACGGUCUUGCUGUCACUUAUAGAUGGAUCCGCGCUGCAUUAGCUAGUUGGUAAGGUAACGGCUUACCAAGGCAACGAUGCAUAGCCGACCUGAGAGGGUGAUCGGCCACACUGGAACUGAGACACGGUCCAGACUCCUACGGGAGGCAGCAGUAGGGAAUCUUCCGCAAUGGGCGAAAGCCUGACGGAGCAACGCCGCGUGAGUGAUGAAGGUCUUCGGAUCGUAAAACUCUGUUAUUAGGGAAGAACAUAUGUGUAAGUAACUGUGCACAUCUUGACGGUACCUAAUCAGAAAGCCACGGCUAACUACGUGCCAGCAGCCGCGGUAAUACGUAGGUGGCAAGCGUUAUCCGGAAUUAUUGGGCGUAAAGCGCGCGUA
Molecule: ribosomal RNA, 591 nt
Filed under: Staphylococcus aureus
Lineage: Bacteria; Bacillati; Bacillota; Bacilli; Caryophanales; Staphylococcaceae
Description: bacterial SSU rRNA
Rfam family: Bacterial small subunit ribosomal RNA
Source: RNAcentral